This 18390-nucleotide long non-coding RNA is filed under the name Malus domestica (apple). Its description in RNAcentral is "long non-coding RNA (MDOM_LNC001280)". The record is from RNAcentral. Lineage: Eukaryota; Viridiplantae; Streptophyta; Magnoliopsida; Rosales; Rosaceae.
AUCAAAUGGGUGGGUCAUUUGUGGAGUGGCAGCGGCACAAGAAACCAAGUGUGAUUUGCCUACAGAGCCGUAAUCUCAUGUUGCAUGGCAGCACGCCAAUGGAGGUCUUGAACAGCCUGCGAAAAACUUAUGGGUUCUUUAAUGACCGUGAGGUUAGCUGUAUAGGAUUUAUGGUAGGGUGAAAAACAAUUAUACGAUAAGUGGUGAGAGAGUGGAUGAGAGGUACCUGAUGACUUAACCACGUUCAUUGAAGAUGUCGAAGUAAGUCUUGACGAAAGAGAGGUCUCGACGUGAAAGUCCUGCAAAAAUGAGGAAGGCUUUGUGGGACGUAUGACACGGUGGAGUGGUAAUGGUGUAGGUGCAGGGCUGGGCGGGGUGAAAUAAGGACAGUAGGUGGUGUUUCUGGAGAAGGCAAGAUCCUGUUCGGUAUUUGUGAUGGUGAUAAAGGUGGCUGCAAUAUUUCUGGUGUUGGUGGGCAUAUAAGGUUUGUGUGGUAUCAUGGGAUUCAAGAGAUAACUUGUUAGAUGUGAUGACUUGAGGAAUGGUGGGAGGGAAAGAGUCCAUAUCUAAGUGCAAUGGUGAGAAGUUUGUAUUGAACAAGGAAUUAGAGGCAGCGGAAAUGUCUGAGGUGUGGUAGGGAAAUUGAUCUCAAAAAAAAAAAACAUCCCGUGACACAAAAACCUUUCGGAGGGUAAGAUCAAAUAAUCUGUAACCUUUUUUUACCAUAGGGAUAACCAAUGAAAAUGCGACGACAUGCACAAGGGUCAAAUUUUAAAGGCAACUCGUAGGUGAAAGUAAUUCAGUUCCUUGUGAAACAAUUUUUCAUAUGGUGUUUUUCCUUGAAGAAUUGGUGUGGGUGUUCGAUUUAUGAGAUAGGCAGAAGCUAGGAUUGCAUCCCACAAAAACGUUCAAUUAGGAAGAUUAGCUUGAAAAAGUAAGGCUCGAGCAACAUUAAGCAAGUGUCGAUGCUUACGUUCAGCGACACUAUUUUGUUGUGGUGUGUUGAUGCAACUAGUUUGAUGGACAAUUCCCUUGAGAUUAUAGAAAGUGUCAAGUUUGAACUCAAGACCAUUGUCACUUCAAACCAUUUUGACCUUAGUAUUGAACUGAUUUUCUACCAUGUGGAUGAAUUGGACAAGGAAUUCUAUUGUAUCGGAUUUGUGUUUCAUCAAAUAAAUUCAUGUGCUCAUAGUAUAAUCGUCAACGAUGGUGAGAAACUAUUUUGCACUUGAAAUAGAAGUAACUUGAUAACCACCCCAAAUAUGAACAUGGAUUAACUCAAAACAUGACUUAGUGGAUAUGGAACUCAAUGAAACGGUAAUCUCAUUUGUUUGGCCAAUGAGCAAAAAUGAAACAUUUAUUUGAAUCACAAGAUUUAUUUUGGAAAAAAGGAAAUAACAUGGAAACUUUAUGCGAUGGAGUGCCCAAAAAGUUGAUGCCAAAAGCUAUAAGGUGGGGUUUUGACAGUUUUGCAUGUUCCUUUCUUUGGUGGGUCGAGAUAAUAAAGUCCAUCUCGUUCAAUUCCCGUCACAAUCAUCUUCCCUGAACGUAGGUCCUGUACGACACAAAAUUGGUUUAGAAAGAUUGUGAUGUAUAAUGAGUCAUAGGCUAAUUUGCUAAUUGAUAUCAAGUUUAACGUAAAGAGUGGUACACACAAAACGUUAUCAAGAACAAGGUUGGGAAAGAAAAUAACUUGUCCAACAUGAGUAAUUUUAGCAAAUGAGCCAUUUGGUAAUUCAGCAGUAUGGUUUUCAACGGGUCUUGAAGAUGCGAGGGAAUCAGGACUGCAAACGAUAUGGUCUGUGGCCCCACUAUCCAAAAUCCAAACUUUUUUCUUGUCAUUGCAUGUGAAAGAAAAAGCUUUACCUGAAAGUUCUUAUGGUUUGAAGAAUUACCCACUUGGUUGGCAAAAUAUGAUUUGUUCCUGUUCAGCAUUUGGAGAAUUUGCUUGCAAUCCUCCUGAGAAAAAGGAAAGUUAGGCAUCACUUCCCUUUUGUCGUGGGUUGCAACUUGAUUGCCUUUGGAGGAGAAAGGUCGACUUUGUUCACUCUCAAAGGCUGUCUUCCUCUUGAGGCAAAAACCAAAAAAGUGACCCUUCCAUCCACAGAAGGUACACUUGAGAUAAGCACGACAAUUUUUAGUAGUGUGAUUCGUCUUGUUGCACUUCCCAAAUCGAGGUCCACCGUCCUCUUAUUCAGCUUCUCGGCUAGUGGUUUUCACGGCAAAUUCCGCAACUUCUGGUUGGGUAAUAUUGUUUUUCCCACCGGAAACUUCCGCCUGUCUCUCAACACGGAGAACCAAUGAGUAGGCUUUGUUUACUGUGGGCAGUGGCUCAAGAGAAGAAUGUUGUUGCGAACGGUGGCAUAAGAAUCAUUCAACCCCAUGAGAAACUUCAUGGUCUUCUGUGUUUCAACGUACAAAGCAAUCUCCUUCUUUGUUUCACAAUUACAUGCCACAAUCGAACAUAGUACUCCUCGUUCAUCCUAGAGACUUUUUAGUCUGGUGAAGUAGGAACUUACUAUCAUGAUUCCUUGCACGUAGCUGUGAAUCUCAUUCUUUAUGUAAAACAGUUAGACGAUGUUCACAUGAGAGUUUGCCCUAAUACGUCUAAACUUGUCUAAUUUCAUUACUUUGUUGUGGAAUAUUUGAUAAGUAUUUAACGUCAUUUCUUUUUUGUUUUUUCACUUUUAUACCGUCUGUUAUACAUUUAUGUGAUUAAAUCUACAUGAAGAAUAUUAGGGUUCCAAACUUAAUGCGUGUGAUGUCUCUAUGACGAACGUGACUAGUUCAUGUUAAUUUGUACUUAUUUAGGUGGGAUUUGAGUAUUGAACCCUUGCCUUAUGUACUUAAUCACAUCUUUUAAGUUGCCCAAACUCUCAAUUUCUUUGCGGCAGUGCGCAGUCGAACAACAUGCAGCCUUGCCCCCACAUUUCAAGGAAAUAUCAUUUUUUUUUUGUCGAAGGAAAUAUCAUAUCAAUUGGGCAAUUUCAUGGGUGGAGAAGCUGUUGAGAGCCUGCAUGCAAAUGAAUAGGAUGAAGUUGUUGCCACUAUAGAUUGUAAAAGAGUUAAGGAUACUGAGGAAGAUUUUGUAAAAGAGUGCUGCAUUCUCGAUAGAGUGCUUCAUGCGUAAGGAUGGCAACGAUUCGGAUCGAAAACUUUUGCACUCUUAUUUAUUUAACUGUGAAAAAUAUUGGUACACAUAACCACAAAUUAAUCAUUUACAUGAUAACGAAUUUCCCAUCGUUUAACUUUACUAGUUUACCCAUUUCACCCAUAACAAAACAGAAAAAAACAAAUUUUUUGUAAUUAAUAGAAGAAAAAAAACCCCCAUAUUUAAUCACAUUAUGUCAAUCACGGUCUAGUGGUAUUCCUCUUCACUUGUAAGUGAGAGGUGUUAGGUCCGAUUCUCGUCAAAGGGGAAUUUGAAUCAUAUUAUCGCUAGCUCAUUGUAGCACUUAGCACACUCCCAAUAAACAGCCACCCUCUCUCUCAGUCUCUCUCGAAGCAACUGCUGCAAGCAUGCAACUCUCUCAAACAAAAGAACAAAGCCUCCCUCCACCACACAAAUACGGCCAGCCACCACCACACACAACCACAAGCCACCACGAUCCGGCGAUUCUCCAUUUCCCUCUCUCAGACUAUCUCUUUCUAGGAGUCGGCGUCUCUCUCGACAAUUUCUACAACAACGGUGAGCUAAGAACUCUCCAUCUCGCAUUUUGAUUUUUCAUCAUUUACCGUCGCUUCUUAUUCUCUGAAAUGGAAGAGACCCCCGAUGAUUGAGAUCUUGAACGUCAUGCAAGAAAUUAAAAGCGAGAAGCCCCGGUAAUCCUCUUUAUUUAGGGAUUUAGGAUUAAUUUUUUAUUUAGGAUGCAUGUUGAAUUAGGGAUUUAUGAUUUAGGGCUUUUGAUUGUUGCUGCAUUUGGAUUUGGAUUUUUGGAUUAAUUUUAUGUGGAUUUGGUUGAUUUGGAUUUCUGAUAUUGGAUUUGGAUUUGGGUUUGAUUUGUUUAUGAGGCAAAUUCCUAUUGAAUUGAAAUUCCGAACUGUACGACCGAAUCCAGAAACUUGUUUUGAGAAUACCGAAAUUUCGGUUCGGUUUUGAUUUUCAGAAUCCCAUCCUGAUAAAGAUUGGUUGGAGAUUCGACUGAUCGAGAUGGCGAUUCGUACCACCACUAGUUUUGAUCAAGGUCUAAAAUAUCGAUGAUAUCGGAAAUAUCGGUAGUCCAAAAACACGAAAAUUUCGAUGAAAAUAUCGGGAUAUUAUCUGUCACAGCUCGUCUCAAGAUUCUAUUUGUCGAGGUUGUGAAAUGACGAAAGUACCCUUGACGGUUACAAAGGUAUGUGUAUGGCAUGUUUUGAAUAAUGUAUAUUUUCCUAAGUUUUGGAAAAUUUAAGUUGGAUUAAAGGAUGUAUGUAUAUUUGUGUGGUUAGGGAAUUAAGAGUGACUUGUUUUUGGGUGGACCACACACAAACGCACGGGACAAACCUUUCAUUCCCUGUGCCGUCUCUCUCUUCCCUCGCAGCUCACACUCUCUCUCCCUUCGAAUUGUACGGACCAAAGCACAAAACCCUCGAAUCACCACGGAUCGACGCCAAUAAGGUGAGAUUCUUCAUCCUUUUAACCUCCUGAUUUGAAUGGUGUUACUUUUAGAACUGAAAACUUUAGAAAUCUCGUCGAACCCGUGACCCAUUUUGAAAUCACUAUUCAUGCACACAUGAAUUGUUGAAUUUCAGGGAAUUCUAAGCCUACAGUGAGCUUAGUGAGGUUCUAAGGAAGCUCGGAGUGCUUAGUUUGAAGGUUUUGGACGUCGGGAUUGUUGAGUUCUAAGUUGGCCGGUUUUCUUGGAAUUUCUCCGGUGAGAUUUCGUAGUUUUUAGAGCCUUAAACUAGUACAUCGUGAUUCUACAUGCUUAGGGCUUCAUUUUGAAAUAAAAUGCAUGAAAAAUGGUUGAGAAAUGACGGAGAACAAGGAGAUUAAAAAAUCUCCAGUUUUCCGAUGACCGGAAAAACCAAUCUGGCGAUUGGAGGAAGAAUAUGACGCGUGUAGGUCUGUGCCCCUCCCGGCACGUGGGGGCGCGUGUGGCCUCGGAAAUUUUUUCUAAAAAUACCUCGACGUCCGUGACGUCGAGUAGGUCACUGUGGUAUAUUCAUAUACUCAAAUUGAGCAUCGUAUGAGAAGUUAUUACGAAUUGUCGGUUAUGUGCUUUAAAUAACAUUGUUUUAGUUGUUUUGCAUAUAGGUGAUACCUAUCCUGAGGACAAGCGCAUCCAGGGACGUCACGGGGGUUACGACCCUUCGACUUAUCAGUGAGUGGGCAGUUGUUUUCUAUUUAUACCUAUAUACUAUUGAUUUCCCAUAAAUUGAAUUUAUAUGAAAGUAUGUUUGAAAAUGCCAUGCAUGCAUAUUGUGAAUUAUAUGAGUUGAUAAUUGAUGCAUAUAUAUAUAUAUAUAUAUGCGAAUUGGUGAUGUGGACGCACAGGUGAGUAUCAGGUGAGUUUUAUGUUAUUUAUGUGAAUCAUUGAUGAUAUGAAUUGUGUUGAGAGCUCAUAACAUGCACCCCUGGUGUUAGUGUUUAUAGUAUUCACCGCACCGCACGCUCACCUUGGAUCCAAGUAGGUGCAUGUCGUACAGACCAUGAGAGGGUUCCGACAUGCUAGUCGUACAGAUCACUUAAGGUGGUUCCGACUGGUAGGUGACCUUAGAUUAUGUGCACAGAUGAUUGAUGAGAGAAGCACUAGAGCGUAUUAUUACACCAUUCUUGUUGUACAGACUACUUCAGGUAGUUCUGACUUAUGUGCAGAGUAGUGUCGUACAGGUCACCAUGGUGACUCCGAUUGGUUGGAUAUUGAGCUAUGGAAUUAACCGUACAGGACCAACUGCAGGGUCUCCGGUUGAUUCAUUAUGUCACCUGUUAUAUUGAUGCAUCCAUAUUCUGUUAUUGACAUUUAUGGCAUGGCAUAUUUUCUGGGUUUUGGUAAAGAUUGGUGAUUUGAGAUAUUUGAAGAAGUAUAUGCAUAUUAUGUUAUUUUCUGGGAAAGUAUAUAGGUUUUACAACGAAGGGUUAGAAAUGUUUUAAAUAAAAUGUUUUUGAAAAACUUUGGUUUUACUGACCCACUCAAUUUUGUUUUGCGCCCCUCCAGGUUCUAGUUAGCAACGUUGGUGGCCCACGAGGAUUCCCACGGCGUACUGACAGACUACAUAAAUGUAGGACUCACCUGCGAGUGUUGUAAUUUAGUUAUGGUCCUACUUGACUACACCUAGUACUUAUGCUCUGAAUUUGUGUGUUUCACACUUAAACUUACUCUAGCAUGCUAGUUGGAUAUUAUUGCUAGUAGUUGGUUUUUAUUCCUUCGUAUUUCUCUUAUCUUUUGCUUCCGCAUCGCACUUUUGGUUACGUCACGCUCACGUGAUGGCCAGCACACCUUGAUUCUAGGAUCGGGGUGUGUCAUUAUCGAUAUCGAUAAAAAUUAAAUAAAAACCACGGAAAUUGUAAGAAAAACUUGGAAAUUUUUAUUGAAACUUUGCAGGAUGUUUAUUUAGUCAAUUAUCUAUUAGUUUAUCACAAAAAAAAUGGAAGGAAAUGCAUUGCAUGAUGAAUUUAACUGAUUUAAGUUGAUUAUAUAGCGAGCUGACAAACAUUGUGAGUGUAGAAAAUAUGUAGUAAUUAAUGAAAGAAGUUUAAACAUACCAUAAUCAUUUAUAUAUAAUGAAUUAGUACAAUAUUUUACACUUUAUACAUUGCAUGGUAAGAUACAUGAGUGACUUAGUACCACAUAGAGUUCCUAUCAAGGUCUAAAAUAUCGAUGAUAUCGGAAAUAUCGAUAGUCCAAAAAAACGGAAAUUUCGAUGAAAAUAUCAAUAUUUUAGACCUUGGUUUUGAUCUGGAAAGAAGUUUGAUUAUGGAGCAUGCAUAUUCACUUUCUACUUGUGCAAUCUGACUUUUAGAAGACACAUAUACUUCAACACCUCUGCUUACAUUAGUAAGCGAGGUGGACAACUCUAAGGCGUGCAGUGGUGAAUUGCAUAUUGAUUUACUGCUAAAAAAAGGAGAGGAAAAUAAAUAAAAAUAGAAAAAACUUAUAAAUAUAUGCAAUACCUAACAAAGCACUUAAAGACUUUCGAAGUCGUGGCCUACUGGCAUGCACACAACACGCACGCACACACGAGACACACGUGUGUCACAGUGGGGGAAACCCUAGCAGCCAGCUCAUUAGACUAUUUCCAACCCUUGGGUUAAAAGUCAAUUUUUUAAGCCCAUAAAAUUUAGCCUUUAGCCUAUAAACAAUUUUUCUACUUUAAUCCUUCUAGCCUAAAAUUUUAGUCCGGGAUUAUUAAAGAAUGAACUUAAGCUAAUUUUUUUUCUUAAAUUAACCUUUUUAAAAAUAAAAAAAAUUUAUGUAGACUAUCAUAAAUUAAUUUUAUGAACAUUUUAAUCUAAAAAUAUUUAAAUUCCGAUAAAUAUUGAAAAAUCACUAGAUCGAUACAUGAAACACUAUGGAAGAAUAUGAAAAUCAUGAUAAAGAUGUAUAAACACAAAAUACAUAAAACACACAAGACACAGAACACAUGUGAAACACAUACAAAACACAUGUGAAACACAUACAAAACACAUGAUAGAGAUGAAGCACACACAAAACACAUGUGAAACACAUGACGCACACGAAACACAUACAAAAUACAUACAAAGCAAGCCUUCAACUUUCACUAAUUGGUCAACUUUCACCAAACUUUUAACUUUCACGAAUCAUUCAACUUUCACCAAACUUUCAACUUUCAUCAAUCAUCCUCUAUAUAAACACAGGUUGAAUAUCAGUUGAUCGCACAAUCUUUCAACCUUCAAUCAUCCUCUAUAUUCAUCAAUCUUUCAACUUUCAAAGUGUUUUUGUUUCCUAAAAAUCCUCAAUAUCUCAUCAAUGGGUGAUAGAAAAAUGUGUAGCAGGGCAAUGCAGAUGGCAUAAUACAAAGCAAGCCUUGACAUUGAGGAUAUAUAAAUGAUCAACGCAGAAGCUAAACUUGCAAACUUGCUUAUACAAUAUGAGCAUCAUGCCAAAUCUAGCUAUCGUGGUUCUGUUACGGGGCGUUCAUUUGUGCAGCGUGAUAGAGAGGAGUGUCAUGACCGAAUGAUGAAAGAUUAUUUCAUCGAGUCGUUGGAUUUAAUUAUUUUAGCUGUUGGAUUCAAAUUUGGGCCGUUAGAUCUUUUUUAAGCCCAGAAAAUUUAGCCUUUAGCCUAGAAAUAGUUUUUUUGCUCUAACCCUUCAGGCCUAAAAUUUUAGUCCAAGAUUUUUGUAGGGGAUGUGGAGUGCUCGGCGGCGGGAACGUUGAGCCUCUUCAUCAUCCCAAUCGAAGGGUGAGGUGACAGCUUUGACAACAGAGGUGGCCGACCUUAAGACUGAGCUAGCCUCGUAUAAGUGCCAGAUGUCACUAAUUGUAUAGGCCCUCAGUCAAUCCCGCAUUCGUCUCCCGGAUAUUCGUCCCCUAUCGACGUGCUAGCCCCUCCAACCUGAGCAUGCCCAGAACUCUGCCCCUUCGACCUCUGAGCCUGUCCUCAACCCCGACCCCUUCUUGCCCCAAUCUUUCCAUCUGCAUGUGAACGACGACCCUGUAGAUUAUUCCCCAUUUUUUUCUUAGUUGUUUAGUCCCUUACUUUUAAUUUUUUUUCUUUGUACAUACAUUUUAUUUUUAUUUUAAACAAAUUAUUUUUCUUUUCAUUACAUUAUUUUAUUUUAUUUUUAUUUUAUUAUUUUAUUAUAAAAUUAAACCCAGAACAAAAAAUAUAUAUAUAUUUUUUUUUGCGAAUAAUAGCUUCGUCGUGCAUACUUUUUUGCGAUAACUCACUUUCGUUGCACAAAGUUUUUACACAAAUAUUAGUCGUUCUAAGUUUGCAUCCUGGCAUUUUGUGUGACGAACAUAUUCGUUCCUAAAAAUUUGGUGCAAUGAAUGAGGAAUUGUCAUGCUUUAUUUUCCGCGACCAAUGCUUUUAUUCAUCACGCAAAGUCUUUCUUCACGAUUUUUGCGCGACUGAUUCUACAUGAAGAAGUUUUCGUCGCGCAUACGUUUGUGCGACGCUAUGAAACUUUGCGCGACCAAUUUAUGUUCGCCGCACUAAAUGUUAAACGCGGUGGUGAUUGAAUUUUACUUUAAUUUGAGUCUCAACUCAAUUCAAGUUCAACAAACUUUUAACAAAAUGGGGCUGAAAAUUUUAACUAGAAUGAACGAGCCAAGGAGAUCUCAAAACCCUAAAUUACGAGUGGGUGGGAAGAAUAUUUGAGUGCUUGUAAUUGUUGCUCCAUAUGAUAAGCAAGGCUCCUAUCACAUGUGUGAUUAGUUUGCUUUUGUGUUCUUGAUCGCUUAUAUAUCAUUUUGCUCUUAUUGGUUUAAGGGAAUAAAGGCUCAAACUUCUUGACAUUUUCCUGAUACUUCAAUAAAUCCAUUGAAAACUUACUAAAUUGUUCCACAAAUGGGCAAUUUGAUUCUUACUGUUGGAGGAAAGAUCAGCAAUUUUCAGUUGUACUGCAGAAAGGAAGAAUACAGGAGAAUAUAUAUGCAGGAUGGCUUUUGAACGGCAACUGAAAUUUAAUUUUAUUGCUUUCAAUUUUUUAUUACAGCACUAGGCCAAUCUUAUUAUUGGCUAUUUUUUAAUAACAUUCAUACCUUUUGAUAACAGCUAUAACUCUUGGAUAAGUUCCAAGAGACACAACUCUACAUUACAGAAAGUGCAUUACGUUUAACACUUACAUCAUUGACUAGUUGAUCUAAGGUUGUUACAUAUAUCCUCCUUAGGUUCCUGAGUAAUCAUCUCAAAUUCCUGCUGAAAUCUCUCCAUGGCCGAGGAUGGCAAACACAUGGGUACCAAUAUUCCAUCCUCAGUGUUGUUUUUGUGUUGAACAUAGAAGCUAACCAAAUCCAAGGCCUUGGCGGGUCCAGCAAAUACCGGCUGUCCCCAUCCAAAAUUGACAUCUCCAAAACCUGCACGCGUAUUAUCAGAAACUAUUAAAUAACUUCCUGUCGAUGAAUAUUGAGGUCGCCCUCUUAGUACCAAAAGAUCUGCCACUGAUCUUAAGUAUUCUUCAUUCAUGGUAGCUUUAGCCUUCUUCACCAACUCCAAAGCAUAUCCCAUUGGAUUUUUGCAUAGAGGUUCAGCCUUUGAAACUGCAGCUGGAAAUGCAAAUGCAUUGCCAUAGUAUCCCAAGGGAAGACGUACAUUGUGGUGCUUUCCCCGUGCAUUGACAGUGCAUGAAACUCGAACUGCCUGUUUUGGAUUAAUUUUGAGUGCAAGAGUGCGACAUUUCCACAAACAAGCUGUGAUCAAGUCAAAUGUGGAGCAAGUGGAAAUUAGGUGGCGUGGAAUCUGUUUUCGAAGGACUCUCAUCUCCUUGGCACCAAAGUAGAAAGAUCGUUGAACCAUGUUUGACUGGUUACUGGAUGUGUAUGAGCCAUCAGAAUGAUCAAUCACGUCUUCAUAUUCAUGAUGAGCACAUGUAAUUCUUGGUGGAUUUCGAGCGAACAAGAGCUCUCUCUCCCACACUGGUAGAAUAGAUGGUGCAUGUGCGCCUCUUGCCAUCUCCGCAAUGGCGGUCAGGAACUGGAGCAAUCCAAAUGCAUCACACAUUGUGUGGUUUAGGCGCAAUGCAAGUAUGAAACCUCCACAUGUAAGACAGGUCACCUGCAUAUUGCAAAAGUUAGUUACUAGACUUUUUUCUUGAUCAUCAUAUUCGUGCUAGUUAACAAAAAAAAAAAAAACAUCUAAAUUAGAUGAUCUAAUUAGGAAAUCUAAAUUAGAUGAUCUAAUUACGAAACAAAAAUUUCAUAAAAAUUAGGAAUAAAAUUAAAAAAGGAUGGAGUCUCGUGCCUGUUUUAGUUACUUGAAAGAGUCUUUAAAUAUAGAGGAAUUUAGACAAAAGGCUUAUAGAAGAGAAAAAUUUAGACAGAAGACAAAGUGGACUACAUGACGACAUGCAAAAAACCUAGAAGAAGAACGGUAAAGAAAACCUACACAAUAAAGGUGAUGUGAGACUGGUAGAAAACCUAGGACCUAAUUAGGCAGAUACCAUUUAGAAAUAUAAUUUCCUCAAUUCGGUGUGUAUACAAAUUUUACAAUGUAUAGGGUUAAACAUAAGGAUUGUUGAAGAAAAAUUAGUUUCGAAAAAUAAUGAAAAGCGUCUCAUAAUCUUUUCUUUCCAAAACCACGUAAUGACUUUCUUUAAUCAUAAGAACAAAGAGGCGUGGUCGUAUUGUAGAUAAGUUCAAGUUUGAGUGUGGUGGCAGUAUGAUAAAUUUUCGUUUAUGAAAAGGGUUGCCAAUUUUAUGAAAAAGUUAAAAACGGUUGCGGUGCCACCAAACUUCAACUUAUUUACAAUAUUGUUAGCGCUUUCUUGUUUAUGUCCUUAUUUGUCAUUAAAAUUUUCAUAUGUUGUUGAUUGCACUAAUUUCUUACAAAAAAUCUCCGGCGUGUGUAUGCGACCUUAACGCAAAAAACACUACUCAUACCCUUAACCUACUUCAAACUUUUUGUGAAGAAUUAAUGGCUAUGACCAAAUAAUAUGUAAUUGAUAAUAUGUAAUUGAUAAUUAAUUGACUCACCUGAAUCAGCAGCAAAGGACAAUCAAUAAUUCCAUCAGAGCCUGGAAAAUUAUAUAAGAACUCCUCUAAAAGUGGACAAGGGGGUAGAAUUUUGUCUCCUAGUUGCUCAAGUGUGACAUCAGCAGAAGCCUCAACGAACAAGAUACCUUCACCAUUGCAAUCGACCACGAGCUUUCUAUUAGGCCCUUCCCUAAGCCUUCCAGCUAAGGGGUAGUAAUACACUAAUGCUCUACUUAAGGCUUCCCUAAUUGCCUUAACGGGAUUACGAUUUUUAUUAAGUGAAGGGUUGUCUUUGUAACACAUUAUGAUUGGAAUCUGAACUCUCAAGCUUUCUUGGUCGUCAAUAUCUGAGAGAAACUUUGUUUCUUGAGGCGUUGACUUUGCCGGAGUUAUAAGUUCCGGUUGCAAUCGUUUCACUUGAAGUACUGAGAAUGACAUCAUUUCAGUAACGAGCUUAAGAACCAGCAAAAGAUCAAAGGAUUUGAAACUUUUAUUUGUGGUAUGCAUGCUAACUAAAAGUUGAUAGUCAGUACUUAUAUAGCGUUAUGCAGAUGCUCUAGUGCUCCCGAAUCUUUCGUCCAAGUUUCCACCUGUUGUGAAUGUGAUUCUUUUCUUUUCCAUUAAAAAUGUUGUUAGAAAGGAACGUUUAAAUCACGCAAUCAACGUGGACCGCAAAGAAAACAUUGUACGUACCUGCCCCAAUCCACAGUUCACACCACAGAUUCGUACAUAUAAUACUGAAUUUCAAUUCAACAUCAGAAAACUGAAUACUAACAGGGAUAUGAGGACAGGUAUUCGGUAGAGAACUUUGAUAGGAAUGGAAGUAAAAAGGCCAACAUCGUACGUACCUGCCCCAUUUACAGCUGUGACUUUUGUAAAACAUCCAUUAGACGUCUGCUAUAAAGGAAAACAUUGUUGGGACUUGGGAGCACGUCAAGUGUUGGGCUAUAAGAGCAACUCCACCUUUGGAGCCCUUCCCCCUGGCAAUUCACUAUUGAAUCCACCAUAUUGAACAGUAACUGCCUUUAAUGAAUAGUAACUACCAUUAAUGAAUAAUAAUUACAUUUUGCAUCUCCACCCUUAGAGCCCUCCCCCCUGGCAAUAGGUAAUAAAAUAGUAGUUUUUUUUGUUUGUUUAAAUAAUAUAAAAUAAAAAAACACAGGGAAAUGGGCUGUAGGGCCUUGGGCUGACACAAAAAAACAAUAAAAAAAUGUCUUGGCCCUCGGGCUGCAAGCCUGUCAACAAUCCACUCCCCUUGUGCUCGGGCUCCCACCCUCACUCGGGCCCUCCAUGGCUAGAGAAUAAUCAACUGGCCCUCGAGCCCCUUCCUGCAGCCCGUCCCCCGAGCAAAUGAGAAGGCUGGAGUUGCUCUAAAGGAAAACAUUGUUGGGGAGCACGUCAAGUGUUGGGCUAUAAAGGAAAACAUUGUUGGCAUAUUAGCACGGGAGACUAUUGUUUCACAUGGCGUGGAGCACGUCAAGUGUUGGGCUUCACACAUAAGAUAAUCUGCUCUGAUACCAAGAUGAAAAUUGUGGUUCCAUCGCCACUUAGUACUACAGUUUAGUGGUAUUCCUCUUCAGUUGUAAGUGAGAGAUUUUAAGUUCAAUUCUCGCCAAAGACAAAUUUGAACCACAUUAUUAUUAGUUCAUUGUGAGUCUAAGCCCAUCAUCUUUCCCUCAGUGUAGAUAAUGUCGUUUGUUAAAAAAAAAAAAAAGAGUAGUUGAGAUUCCAUCUUAAAACUAAUUGACAGUAUGAAGUGGAACUCAAUUACUUAUAAGCACGCAAAGUCCUUUCCUUACCUAAUAUGAGAUCUAUACUCACAACAUUUCACUGUUAAGCAAAUAUGUAAAAAAACAAAAUGGAACAAAUAAUUCAAUCACUUGACAAAAUAGAACUCACUGACGACAAUAUUAUGUUUGUUAAAGAUAGGAAUCACUGAAGACAAUAUUAUGUUUGUUAAGGAACAUGAAACCAACAGCUCUUAGCAACUAGUUGUGAAUUAUGUAUUUAUUUGCGUUCAUUUAAGUUGGUGGUUAGCCAUCCAAUUGUUCUUCCCCAUCAAUUUUUAGAAGAAAUCAAACCAAACUAGACUCGAGUGUUCAUAUACUCAUUGGAGUUGAAUAUAACAAUACGUAAAAUUCCAUCACUAAGAAGUAAGAAGCCAAUUGUAUCAAGACUUUGUAACAGCAGCAUGAAGGUCAGGAGUCAACUUGGAGGAGAAGAUCGUGAGCGGUUUCACCUAGCACUAGUUAACCGAACCCCAGAUUCUAUGUUCAUGGUUAUCGGCUAAUCCUCAACUCUUAUGUUCGGUGCUUAACUUCCGAACAUUGAACUUUUUGUCAAAUUUUGUGUUCAGAAUGUUCAAAUACAUGAUUCAAUCUAGUUGUAAUUUAUUUAAGAAAAUAGAAACAAACCCAAGAGGAUUUCAAAGAAAAGUGAUAGCAUAGGGCAAAACAUUGCAGCUCAAACGUCACUUACAUACUUCAAUGAUUUAGGGUUUUGGUCACGAUACCACCUUACAUCUCAUUUAAAUUAGCUAGUUAACAAAAGCCUUCAAGACCCCAGUUGUUCUAAGCUAAUCUAAACCUCACACCAAAGCAAACCUAUAUCAGCCCUACACUUUUAAUUUUGGACUGAGUCAACAUAUUUGGCCGUUACAAAUUUUGAAAAAACUAAGCCAUUACUUUUGUUUAAUACAAAAAAUUGGAAGCUAGAAAUCAAUUUAGGCAUCAACACUCUCCUUCAAAUUGUUUUUAGUUUUGACACCAAGCAAAUCCCUGAGGUAUACAAAAGUCUCUUUUAGCGUACCCUUAGUAAAUAUAUCAACAGUUUGAUCUUCAUAUUUGCAAUAGAGUAAUUCAAUCACAUUAUCUGAUGUACAAAGGAUCUCUAAUAAAGUGAUGGUUCCUCUUGACAUGUUUUGUUGUUUAGUGAAUCAGAGGAUAUCUUGUUAUAGCAAUUACAAAGGUGUUGUUGAAUUUUAGUGAUAUAGCAUCUACUUUGAAAAGGUAGCUGGGUUGAGGAACCCAAACCCAAUAGAUAAAUAAACUCAACUAAAAUUCCAAACGAGGAUUCAUGUACGGUUUCAAUCAUACUACGUAACAGUGAAGAACAAAAUGAAAUAGAGAAAAAAGAACAAAAGACUCACGAUAUAAUUCAUGGGCACACAACCGAUUAAAGAACCAUUGAGAAAUAAGUACUUUUACAAGACAGACAUCUACUACACUUGAAGUUUUCUCUUGUACUUUUAAUCAUGUAGCACACAGUCUUUCUUUUGCUCUCUUUUGGAUGAACAUGACGCACUCAGCAGAUUCUCCUCACGACUAAAGAAAUUGCACUCAACUUCGUCACGUAGAUAUGGACACAACUUAUUCACCCAAAUGAAUAUGAUGAAUAAUAUGAAAGGUAUGAAGUGUUUCACUAAGAUCACUUUUCUAACCUAGCACUCAAGAACUUUGCUUUAAACCUUUUAUGCUCAAAUCUUAUAACCAAGCAAAGAUGAAUGAUAGGCUUGAUUUCCUAUGAAACCAACAGCCUAGAAUAAAGGAAACUGGAACUAUGAACUAGAAUAAAUCAAAUUGGGUUUAUUUCUUAAAACUAAGCAAUUAAACUGAUAUUAUAAUCUUCAAGAUAUGCAAUGAUGUGAUUCUCGUUUCCUAUAUGAAUGCACAUGAUACUCCAAUAUAUGCCUUGAUGUGCACGUUUUCAGUAAUUAAACUAGAAACUACGACACGCCUAAAAUAUAGAACUAAUAUAUUGCAGACGCAUUAAACUUGUCUAGGAAAUUAGCCAAAUACAAAAGCUUGCGCUUUCACACUUGCAUUCAAUUAAGUCCUUAAGAACAAACCUCAGCCAAAUUGCUUGAGAAUAGCCUCUCCAAGGAAGAACAUCACUUCGAAAAAAGUCGUUUUGACUUUGGGCUUAAUCAAGGGUUGUAAUUCCUUUAAUUCUAAUGGUGAAAUUGGGUUAAGAUAAAAAAUACUUUUUUUUUAACAAAUGAUAUUAUCUACAUUAAGGAGAGAGUGAGCUAAACCUAACAAUGGGCUAGCAUAAUGUGGUUCAAAUUCGCUUUUGUCGAUAAUCUAACCUAAAACCUUUCAUUUACAAGUGAAGGGGAAAACCACUAGACUGUAGUACUAAGUGGCAAUUCUUUGGAUUAGUUUGGUAUUCCUGUGCUUUCUAAAAAAAUGUGAUUAUGUUGUCCUAUGAGAAUAAACAGUUGUUGCGUGUUGAUAACUUUUUUUUUUUUAAAGUGCUUUUAACAACAAAAAAUAGUGUCUGAGUGUUUGGUAAACUGUUAUAUAAAUUGUUGUGAAUGUGUUAAAUAACUAAAAAGGAUAUGGUAUGUAGUGUGAUAUAAUAAUUGUCAAAGACAAUAACGUAGGGGCAAAAAUUGUAAUUUUGUAAAAUGUGGGGUUGUACUUGCCUUUGAAAAUUUUAUUAAAUCAGCACUAAUUACUAUAUUUCGAAGAAAAAACAAAGCACUUUCUUUAGAAGCAUGGUAGACUCUGUUUUUGUUUUUUCUAUGCUUUUCUAUUGUCAUUAACAACAAUUUUUUUUUUAAAUCACUUUUUUUUUUGUUACUGUUGACCGUAAAAACUACCAAGCCUACGUGGCGCGUAGGCCGAGUAAUUAAUAAGCUAACUACGUCAUUCGGUUGUGUGUGGGGCAUGCCAACUCGUCGGCCGAACUCAGCCGGGGAGUAAAAUGUGUUGAUGUCAUGUUGGGCGUGCUAUUGACUUCUUGAUCUUACGACUGAGGCCGAGGAAGGAACACGUCUCGGCCUUCCGGAUCUAGAGCUUGAAGACAAGGUUGCUAGUUCUGCGAAGUUCAAAAUCAAAUUCAGCUUUCAAUGUGCCGAAUGUAGUAACCUGUAACACUUCACUUCGCCGAGAAGGCUAAUGAGAUGACCUCUGCCAAUAAGGAUUUGAAAAUCCUUCUCGACCGAGACUUAGAUAGAUAACCAGUCAGCCUAGACGCAGUGCUGUUUAUCUAAACUGUAGGUGCUCCGCGGUCGACUGAUUCUAUGGCAACAGUGCUGUUUAUCCAAACUGAAGAUGUUCGCCGGUUGCCUUCACAGUGAUGUUUAUCCAAACUGAAGAUGUGUUGGCGAAAAAGGAAAAUAAAAAUCUCAAGGUUGUUGAGAGGUUUCGCGUAGAGCGAGAGUUUGCGCAGGGCAGUUUGUGUGUUGAAUUGGAGGGGGUCAUCUUCUCGUUGCCACUGCCUCUGUAUUUAUAGGGACGCACCGACUUGAUCUUUGAAUAUUGCACGAGAUUUUUGGCGUGGAUCAGACUCAACCAAAUGCAUGGAGUUAUCAUGCAAUUAUCCAACCAAUUUAAAAUCUCCAUCAUUAUCUCCUUUUCUCCUUAUUUUGUCCAUCGUUAUCCAAGUAUUUGAUGAUCUCCAUGUGCUGGAACCAAGGCAUGCAAGUUUAUCUCUUAGCCAUGCAUUUCAAACUGAAGCAUCACAACAAUCCACUCAUCUUUCCACCAAAUUUGACCAGGUGCAAUCAUGCACUAUCAAUUUGCAGCAUACCACUUGAAUCUGUCAGUCAACCAAAUUGAUCUCACCCACACAUUCACACGCCAAACAUCCAAAAUCAACUUGAAUUGUGCUACCGUGUUUCCAGCUUGGAGAUACAUAUAUCAUCUUAAUUAUCAUUAAAAGAUAAUUAUCAUAAUAUUAUCCUUCAAUAAUAACAAAACGAUCUUCACUAUUCGAUCUGAUGGUCGGGGGCUAUGCUUACGCAAUGACCUUGAUUGCACGGGCCGAUGAUGUAAUUUUGGGUCCAAACAGUUACCAAACACACUUAAUGUUCCAGAUUUUUUAAAAGCAUUACAAUCCCAAACCAGCCAUUUGUUAAAAUGUUUAGAAUUUUCUCAACCAAAUGGCUCAAAUGUGUAGGGGGAAUACUAUUAUGUAGUUGGCAUUCAAUGACUUGCUUAAUUUCUUUGAUUAGUGAAUAUGUUCUAGAUUGUUAAAUUAUUUUGUAUAAACUUAGCAUCCAUAAAGCUUUUUAAGUUAAACCAUAUUCACUAGCAAGACCAUUUAAAUUGUACGAAGUAGAAGACAAUUCUGAGAUCAAUCAUAAUCAUGUUUCGAAUUUUCACAUUUUUGCAAUUGAGUUAUAAGGAAAGACAUUCACUAUUCUUCUAAGAAGAGGUUUGAAUUAAACCCAUUUGCAUCAAAUGGGUGGGUCGUUUGUGGAGUGGCAGCGGCACAAGAAACCAAGUGUGAUUUGCCUAAAGAGCCGUAAUCUCAUGUUGCAUGGCAGCACGCCAAUGGAGGUCUUGAACAGCCUGCGAAAACUUAUGGGUUCUUUAAUGACUGUGAGGUUAGCUGUAUAGGAUUUAUGGUAGGGUGAAAAACGAUUAUACGAUAAGUGGUGAGAGAGUGGAUGAGAGGUACCUGAUGACUUAACCACGUUCAUUGAAGAUGUCGAAGUAAGUCUUGACGAAAGAGAGGUCUCGACGUGAAAGUCCUGCAAAAAUGAGGAAGGCUUUGUGGGGACGUAUGACACGGCGGAGUGGUAAUGGUGUAGGUGCAGGGCUGGGCGGGGUGAAAUAAGGGCAGUAAGUGGUGUUUCUGGAGAAGGCAAGAUCAUGUUCGGUAUUUGCGACGGUGAUAAAGGUGGCUGCAAUAUUUCUGGUGUUGGUUGGCAGAUAAGGUUUGUGUGGUAUCAUGGGAUUCAAGAGAUAACUUGUCCGAUGUGAUGACUUGAGGAAUGGUGGGAGGGAAAGAGUCCAUAUCUAAGUGCAAUGGUGAGAAGUUUGUAUUGAACAAGGAAUUAGAGGCAGCGGAAAUGUCUGAGGU